This is a long non-coding RNA of Rhopalosiphum padi (bird cherry-oat aphid), 396 nucleotides long. RefSeq lists it as uncharacterized. NCBI's taxonomy places the organism in Eukaryota, Metazoa, Arthropoda, Insecta, Hemiptera, Aphididae. The transcript has 2 exons. The record is from RefSeq and is a predicted model, not a curated record.
AUUGCUAAGCAUUAUAAUUAUUUCUUUAACCAUUAUACAUAUUUAACUGACUAUUUGUGUUUUAGAUGGCAGUACUGCAGAUCACUGGAGGCAUGCUGAGACAUGAAUUAGCAUUUCUAUCACUAGGGAAAGUUACAACAUUUUCCGUUGAAAAUGGAAUAGAAGAUGGCAGUAUAUCAGAUCAAUCAAGGCACGCUGAGACACGAAUUCACAUUUCUACCACCAAGGAAAGAAUCAACAUCCUAUGUUGAAAAUGGACUAGAAGAUACUGAUAAUAAUAUUGGAUUUAUGCAAUGUGCGUGCAAUGGUUAUUGAAUAUAAUUGAUUCUAAAUUAAUAGCUGUGAAACAAUUGAGAUUUGUUAAAUAUCUGAAUAAAAUAAUAGUAAACACCUUUA